Molecule: ribosomal RNA, 2986 nt
Filed under: Salmonella enterica subsp. enterica serovar Infantis
Lineage: Bacteria; Pseudomonadati; Pseudomonadota; Gammaproteobacteria; Enterobacterales; Enterobacteriaceae
Description: 23S ribosomal RNA
Rfam family: Bacterial large subunit ribosomal RNA
Source: RNAcentral
GGUUAAGCGACUAAGCGUACACGGUGGAUGCCCUGGCAGUCAGAGGCGAUGAAGGGCGUGCUAAUCUGCGAUAAGCGCCGGUAAGGUGAUAUGAACCGUUAUAACCGGCGAUACCCGAAUGGGGAAACCCAGUGUGACUCGUCACACUAUCAUUAACUGAAUCCAUAGGUUAAUGAGGCGAACCGGGGGAACUGAAACAUCUAAGUACCCCGAGGAAAAGAAAUCAACCGAGAUUCCCCCAGUAGCGGCGAGCGAACGGGGAGGAGCCCAGAGCCUGAAUCAGCAUGUGUGUUAGUGGAAGCGUCUGGAAAGGCGCGCGAUACAGGGUGACAGCCCCGUACACAAAAGCGCAUGUGCUGUGAGCUCGAUGAGUAGGGCGGGACACGUGGUAUCCUGUCUGAAUAUGGGGAAAUUCAUCCUCCAAGGCUAAAUACUCCUGACUGACCGAUAGUGAACCAGUACCGUGAGGGAAAGGCGAAAAGAACCCCGGCGAGGGGAGUGAAAAAGAACCUGAAACCGUGUACGUACAAGCAGUGGGAGCACAGGUUUACCUGUGUGACUGCGUACCUUUGUAUAAUGGGUCAGCGACUUAUAUUCUGUAGCAAGGUUAACCGAAUAGGGGAGCCGGAGGGAAACCGAGUCUUAACCGGGCGUUAAGUUGCAGGGUAUAGACCCGAAACCCGGUGAUCUAGCCAUGGGCAGGUUGAAGGUUGGGUAACACUAACUGGAGGACCGAACCGACUAAUGUUGAAAAAUUAGCGGAUGACCUGUGGCUGGGGGUGAAAGGCCAAUCAAACCGGGAGAUAGCUGGUUCUCCCCGAAAGCUAUUUAGGUAGCGCCUCGUGAAUUCAUCUCCGGGGGUAGAGCACUGUUUCGGCUAGGGGGCCAUCCCGGCUUACCAACCCGAUGCAAACUGCGAAUACCGGAGAAUGUUAUCACGGGAGACACACGGCGGGUGCUAACGUCCGUCGUGAAGAGGGAAACAACCCAGACCGCCAGCUAAGGUCCCAAAGUCAUGGUUAAGUGGGAAACGAUGUGGGAAGGCCCAGACAGCCAGGAUGUUGGCUUAGAAGCAGCCAUCAUUUAAAGAAAGCGUAAUAGCUCACUGGUCGAGUCGGCCUGCGCGGAAGAUGUAACGGGGCUAAACCAUGCACCGAAGCUGCGGCAGCGAACGUAUCACUUAAAGCGAUUCAGCGGGUUACGAUUGACGGAGCGAAGCGACGUCAAAGCGUAUACAAAGUCGAGUCGGUUUAAGGAUACGUUCGUUGGGUAGGGGAGCGUUCUGUAAGCCUGUGAAGGUGUGUCGUGAGGCAUGCUGGAGGUAUCAGAAGUGCGAAUGCUGACAUAAGUAACGAUAAAGCGGGUGAAAAGCCCGCUCGCCGGAAGACCAAGGGUUCCUGUCCAACGUUAAUCGGGGCAGGGUGAGUCGACCCCUAAGGCGAGGCCGAAAGGCGUAGUCGAUGGGAAACGGGUUAAUAUUCCCGUACUUGGUGUUACUGCGAAGGGGGGACGGAGAAGGCUAUGUUGGCCGGGCGACGGUUGUCCCGGUUUAAGCGUGUAGGCUGGUUUUCCAGGCAAAUCCGGAAAAUCAAGGCUGAGGCGUGAUGACGAGGCACUACGGUGCUGAAGCAACAAAUGCCCUGCUUCCAGGAAAAGCCUCUAAGCAUCAGGUAACAUCAAAUCGUACCCCAAACCGACACAGGUGGUCAGGUAGAGAAUACCAAGGCGCUUGAGAGAACUCGGGUGAAGGAACUAGGCAAAAUGGUGCCGUAACUUCGGGAGAAGGCACGCUGACACGUAGGUGAAGUGAUUUACUCAUGGAGCUGAAGUCAGUCGAAGAUACCAGCUGGCUGCAACUGUUUAUUAAAAACACAGCACUGUGCAAACACGAAAGUGGACGUAUACGGUGUGACGCCUGCCCGGUGCCGGAAGGUUAAUUGAUGGGGUCAGCGCAAGCGAAGCUCCUGAUCGAAGCCCCGGUAAACGGCGGCCGUAACUAUAACGGUCCUAAGGUAGCGAAAUUCCUUGUCGGGUAAGUUCCGACCUGCACGAAUGGCGUAAUGAUGGCCAGGCUGUCUCCACCCGAGACUCAGUGAAAUUGAACUCGCUGUGAAGAUGCAGUGUACCCGCGGCAAGACGGAAAGACCCCGUGAACCUUUACUAUAGCUUGACACUGAACAUUGAGCCUUGAUGUGUAGGAUAGGUGGGAGGCUUUGAAGCGUGGACGCCAGUCUGCGUGGAGCCGACCUUGAAAUACCACCCUUUAAUGUUUGAUGUUCUAACGUGGACCCGUGAUCCGGGUUGCGGACAGUGUCUGGUGGGUAGUUUGACUGGGGCGGUCUCCUCCUAAAGAGUAACGGAGGAGCACGAAGGUUGGCUAAUCCUGGUCGGACAUCAGGAGGUUAGUGCAAUGGCAUAAGCCAGCUUGACUGCGAGCGUGACGGCGCGAGCAGGUGCGAAAGCAGGUCAUAGUGAUCCGGUGGUUCUGAAUGGAAGGGCCAUCGCUCAACGGAUAAAAGGUACUCCGGGGAUAACAGGCUGAUACCGCCCAAGAGUUCAUAUCGACGGCGGUGUUUGGCACCUCGAUGUCGGCUCAUCACAUCCUGGGGCUGAAGUAGGUCCCAAGGGUAUGGCUGUUCGCCAUUUAAAGUGGUACGCGAGCUGGGUUUAGAACGUCGUGAGACAGUUCGAUUCCUAUCUGCCGUGGGCGCUGGAGAACUGAGGGGGCUGCUCCUAGUACGAGAGGACCGGAGUGGACGCAUCACUGGUGUUCGGGUUGUCAUGCCAAUGGCACUGCCCGGUAGCUAAAUGCGGAAGAGAUAAGUGCUGAAAGCAUCUAAGCACGAAACUUGCCCCGAGAUGAGUUCUCCCUGAGACUUAAAGUCUCCUGAAGGAACGUUGAAGACGACGACGUUGAUAGGCCGGGUGUGUAAGCGCAGCGAUGCGUUGAGCUAACCGGUACUAAUGAACCGUGAGGCUUAACCUU